AGAGCGAACGCUGGCGGCAGGCUUAACACAUGCAAGUCGAACGCACUCUUCGGAGUGAGUGGCAGACGGGUGAGUAACACGUGGGAACGUACCCUUCGGUUCGGAAUAACUCAGGGAAACUUGAGCUAAUACCGGAUACGCCCUUACGGGGAAAGGUUUACUGCCGAAGGAUCGGCCCGCGUCUGAUUAGCUAGUUGGUGAGGUAACGGCUCACCAAGGCGACGAUCAGUAGCUGGUCUGAGAGGAUGAUCAGCCACACUGGGACUGAGACACGGCCCAGACUCCUACGGGAGGCAGCAGUGGGGAAUAUUGGACAAUGGGCGAAAGCCUGAUCCAGCCAUGCCGCGUGAGUGAUGAAGGCCUUAGGGUUGUAAAGCUCUUUUGUCCGGGAAGAUAAUGACUGUACCGGAAGAAUAAGCCCGGCUAACUUCGUGCCAGCAGCCGC
This 445-nucleotide ribosomal RNA is filed under the name uncultured bacterium. RNAcentral's name for it is "SSU rRNA". It matches the Rfam family "Bacterial small subunit ribosomal RNA", at positions 26 to 518 of the family's 1533-position model. The record is from RNAcentral.